UUAUCUACGGAAGCCGAGAACGGCCAUCGAUUAUUUAUUUUUUUAUGCACUGUUAUCUCGUGAUAACGACUUAUUAUCUCGUUUUCUCGAUAUAACAAAGGUCGUUUUCUCGUGAUAACGAAUUAAUUAUCUCGUUUUCUCGAUAUAACAAAGGUUGUUUUCUCGUGAUAACGAAUUAAUUAUCUCGUUUUCUCGAUAUAACAAAGGUCGUUUUCUCGUGAUAACGAAUUAAUUAUCUCGUUUUCUCGAUAUAACAAGGAUCGUUUUCUCGUGAUAACGAAUUAAUUAUUUCGUUAUCUCGAUAUAACAGACAGACUUUUGGCGCUGGUUAAUGUGAUCGUGCUGAUUUCAGCCUACGAGAGCUUCCACUGUCUGAUCCAGGUGUGUCCCAGGGAGGUGAAAAUGGCAGAUCACAUUAUUGAUCAACGCAUCAGGACCUACUUCAACCAAGGUCUAACACAGGCAGAAAUUGCAUUGUGCC
Molecule: long non-coding RNA, 481 nt
Organism: Gadus macrocephalus (Pacific cod)
Lineage: Eukaryota; Metazoa; Chordata; Actinopteri; Gadiformes; Gadidae
Exons: 2
Source: RefSeq, a predicted model, not a curated record